RNAcentral lists this transfer RNA (75 nucleotides) under Marchantia polymorpha subsp. ruderalis. Its description in RNAcentral is "tRNA-Pro". Lineage: Eukaryota; Viridiplantae; Streptophyta; Marchantiopsida; Marchantiales; Marchantiaceae. The record is from RNAcentral.
GGGCAUUUCGUCUUGUGGUAUGAUUCUUGAUUAGGGUGCAAUAGGUCCCGAGAUCAAUUCUCGGAAUGCCCCCCA